AUUGAACGCUGGCGGCAGGCUUAACACAUGCAAGUCGAACGGUAGCAGGAGAAAGCUUGCUUUCUUGCUGACGAGUGGCGGACGGGUGAGUAAUGCUUGGGAAUCUGGCUUAUGGAGGGGGAUAACUACGGGAAACUGUAGCUAAUACCGCGUAGAAUCGGAAGAUGAAAGUGCGGGACCGCAAGGCCGCAUGCCAUGAGAUGAGCCCAAGUGGGAUUAGGUAGUUGGUGGGGUAAGGGCCUACCAAGCCUGCGAUCUCUAGCUGGUCUGAGAGGAUGGCCAGCCACACUGGAACUGAGACACGGUCCAGACUCCUACGGGAGGCAGCAGUGGGGAAUAUUGCGCAAUGGGGGGAACCCUGACGCAGCCAUGCCGCGUGAAUGAAGAAGGCCUUCGGGUUGUAAAGUUCUUUCGGUAUUGAGGAAGGUUGAUGUGUUAAUAGUACAUCAAAUUGACGUUAAAUACAGAAGAAGCACCGGCUAACUCCGUG
Molecule: ribosomal RNA, 490 nt
Filed under: uncultured bacterium
Lineage: Bacteria
Description: partial 16S ribosomal RNA
Rfam family: Bacterial small subunit ribosomal RNA
Source: RNAcentral